UGGCUCUCCCAUCGAUGAAGAACGCAGCGAAAUGCGAUAAGUAAUGUGAAUUGCAGAAUUCAGUGAAUCAUCGAAUCUUUGAACGCACCUUGCACCCUUUGGUAUUCCGAAGGGUAUGCCUGUUUGAGUGUCAUCAAAUUAUCAAACUGAAUGAUUAAGUUCUGUUCGGUUUGGAUCUGAGGGCUUUGUCGGACUCGUCAAAGAGGUCGACUCCCUUUAAAAGCAUUAGCGGAUUUAACCAUCGUGGAUACGCCUCGAUUUGAUAAUAUCUAUGUCGUCGCGCUGAAGCGGUAAUCUGCUCAUAACCGUCCUCUUUGGACAAUCUAUGACAAUUUGACCUCAAAUCAGGUAGGACUACCCGCUGA
RNAcentral lists this unclassified non-coding RNA (365 nucleotides) under uncultured fungus. RNAcentral's name for it is "partial contains 5.8S ribosomal RNA and internal transcribed spacer 2". The stretch from base 1 to 133 matches the Rfam family "5.8S ribosomal RNA", at positions 22 to 154 of the family's 154-position model. Lineage: Eukaryota; Fungi. The record is from RNAcentral.